This is a long non-coding RNA of Sarcophilus harrisii (Tasmanian devil), 2024 nucleotides long. RefSeq lists it as uncharacterized. The transcript has 2 exons. The record is from RefSeq and is a predicted model, not a curated record. Lineage: Eukaryota; Metazoa; Chordata; Mammalia; Dasyuromorphia; Dasyuridae.
ACACAGCUAGUAAGUAUCUGAGGCUGGAUUUGACUUCAGGAAGAUAGAUGAGUCUUCUUCACUCCAAAUCCAACAUUCUUUGCAGUAUGGUUUCCCUUAGCUGUCAGCACAUAAUGGGAGUCAGAAGACCUGGGUUCAAUUGUGCCUUUGUCACUUGCUGGCUGUUUGACACUGGACAAAUCAUUUAACCUCUCUCAGCCUCAGUUUCCAUGGCUGUAAAAUGGAGACAUUAGGACUGAUAAUAUCUAACUUUCUUCCAGUUCUACAAAUAUGAUUCCAUGAUCAUGAUCAACGAUUAACACCAAAGAAACAAGUCGAACCAGCUACAUGUUAAAUUUUUCCACGUGAAAUACCUACUGUCCAGGCUUUGAGCUGUGACUAGACUGCCAGUACAGAGCCACGGGACAGGAGGGCCAGAGGAUAAAGUGGGGGACAGACAAGAAUAGAAGGACAGAGAGAAAGGAGAAGGAUAAAGUUCCUUUAAGGGGGCUACAUCAUUGCUCAAGGAGCUGCACUGAAGUUUAUCCUCAGGGCCCAGGAUGCAGACACUUUGACACUUAGGAGAAGGGACUGGACCCAAUGAGCGCUGACGUUUCUUGCAGGAGCAAAGUGAGUAAAAGCUAAUAUUCACAGUGAAUCCAUGUCUAAAUAUUUAUUUUUUUCACGUUUUCCAUGAAGUAUUUGCCGCCCCUCGGCCAUCAGCCUAACGGGCAGCCUCAUUAAAUAACCCCAGAGCCAGGACCGCGGAUUGCCUCAUCUCCCCCAGUAGCUUCAGGUGACUUAUUACAACAUGAUGUCACCCCUUGGCUGAUCCAAUGUUAUUCCUUCGAAGCAUUAAUUAGAGGCCAAGUUUAUCAGAAUCACCAACAGCCUCCACUAAAACACAGGAGAAAAGGAGCAGGGAAGGGCGCAGGUUAUUAAAUGUGCUGGAGGAGAGAACGGGCGCUUUCUCAAGUUAGAUGGGAAAUGAAAGAGGUCAUUCUUUAUGAGCGAGAAGGGGAGAGUUAGAGGAUGGAUUCGGACCCAACUCAGAUUAGGGGAUUAGCAAGGACAAAGCCCAGAGGACCCUGGGCUGCUGCCUCCCUCCUGGUUUUGAUACAGUCAUUUAUUGAUUUUUAAUCAUUAUUAUCAUUUUAAACAUUGGAGAGACGUGGGUGUGUGCACUGAGCCAUCCCUCUCCAAGCUGGACACCAGGAAAGGACAUGGGAGAAAAAAGGAGCUAAUGUUUCUUUGCAGACCCAUGGAAUUUACUUUCUACAGUCCAAGGAGCAAGUACAGUAGGGAUGUGAGCGGCUCCGAGAACCGCGGCCCAUCAAUCAGUGGGCCGGAUGGUCUGCGCCCGGGCAACGGCUGCCAAAGAAACAGAAUGGAACCUGGAAGAAUGUAACAGCUAUUUUUUCCAUCCUAAUUCUGUCCCUGAGCUCACAUCUUCGGCGACCGAGAUGGUUUUAAUUACCAAUUUAAUGAGCAUUAAAUAAGAUGGCUUUUACACAAAUAGGGACAUUUGACAAUGCUUGUGCGGAGCUAAUGGCGGAGCCAGGACCAGGCUUGACAGCGGGGGGACGCUCUGGAGGGCCUCUCCCUCCCUGGGCCUGGGCUCUGGCCUGAGCCUCACCAUGAAAUGGUGUGUCCCCAACAAACAAUGACCCGAGCCAGCGAUGGGAGAAGGAGAGCCGGGCCAGAGAGAAAGGUCUUCCUUAGAUUCUCAUCUCCCCCCACGGGGGGGCCUCCCAGUCAAAGGGACGUCCCACCACCUAGCACUCCCUCAGCAUCAGGGGACACAAGGCACCUCCUUAUGGGCAGUGGGAUCUGGGCUGCUUUCCUUGCUCCUCCUCCACUGCAGCCAUGGGAGAGUAAGAACAGCAGGUGACAAAAUAAAGUGUGGUUCUCAGCAGCCAAAGCUUCAGAGAUCCAAGGCCAGAAAGUCACUUCAUGAACUCAAAAAUCAUCCCGAGGGGGGCUGAGGAACGAUUCCUCCCAACCUGCUGAUCCUAAGAGUCACAUCAGUCACGUGGAGAGGCUGG